This 394-nucleotide ribosomal RNA is filed under the name uncultured bacterium. RNAcentral describes it as "bacterial SSU rRNA". It matches the Rfam family "Bacterial small subunit ribosomal RNA", at positions 29 to 418 of the family's 1533-position model. The record is from RNAcentral.
AGUGAACGCUGGCGGCAGGCCUAACACAUGCAAGUCGAACGGCAGCACAGCAGUAGCAAUACUGUGGGUGGCGAGUGGCGGACGGGUGAGGAAUACAUCGGAAUCUGCCUAGUCGUGGGGGAUAACGUAGGGAAACUUACGCUAAUACCGCAUACGACCUACGGGUGAAAGCGGGGGAUCGCAAGACCUCGCGCGAUUAGAUGAGCCGAUGUCCGAUUAGCUAGUUGGCGGGGUAAUGGCCCACCAAGGCGACGAUCGGUAGCUGGUCUGAGAGGAUGAUCAGCCACACUGGAACUGAGACACGGUCCAGACUCCUACGGGAGGCAGCAGUGGGGAAUAUUGGACAAUGGGCGCAAGCCUGAUCCAGCCAUGCCGCGUGGGUGAAGAAGGCCUC